UGUUGCCUGCUGAGAGUCCCAUGUUAACAUGCUGGUUCCGUAGACAUAAGGAAACAAUGACAAACGAAAAUAGAAUUGUCCACAAGAGGACAGAGAAUAGCUCACGCAAGAGGGACAACGUACUCUGUGUUGUUUCGGAGAGGAAAACAAAGAAU
This is a long non-coding RNA of Talpa occidentalis (Iberian mole), 155 nucleotides long. RefSeq lists it as uncharacterized. The transcript has 3 exons. The record is from RefSeq and is a predicted model, not a curated record. Lineage: Eukaryota; Metazoa; Chordata; Mammalia; Eulipotyphla; Talpidae.